GAUGAACGCUGGCGGCGUGCCUAAUACAUGCAAGUCGAGCGAACGGACGAGAAGCUUGCUUCUCUGAUGUUAGCGGCGGACGGGUGAGUAACACGUGGAUAACCUACCUAUAAGACUGGGAUAACUUCGGGAAACCGGAGCUAAUACCGGAUGAUAUUUUGAACCGCAUGGUUCAAAAGUGAAAGACGGUCUUGCUGUCACUUAUAGAUGGAUCCGCGCUGCAUUAGCUAGUUGGUAAGGUAACGGCUUACCAAGGCAACGAUGCAUAGCCGACCUGAGAGGGUGAUCGGCCACACUGGAACUGAGACACGGUCCAGACUCCUACGGGAGGCAGCAGUAGGGAAUCUUCCGCAAUGGGCGAAAUCCUGACGGAGCAACGCCGCGUGAGUGAUGAAGGUCUUCGGAUCGUAAAACUCUGUUAUUAGGGAAGAACAUAUGUGUAAGUAACUGUGCACAUCUUGACGGUACCUAAUCAGAAAGCCACGGCUAACUACGUG
RNAcentral lists this ribosomal RNA (497 nucleotides) under uncultured bacterium. Its description in RNAcentral is "partial 16S ribosomal RNA". It matches the Rfam family "Bacterial small subunit ribosomal RNA", at positions 28 to 507 of the family's 1533-position model. The record is from RNAcentral.